Molecule: long non-coding RNA, 530 nt
Organism: Physella acuta
Lineage: Eukaryota; Metazoa; Mollusca; Gastropoda; Physidae
Source: RefSeq, a predicted model, not a curated record
CUUGUUUACCCACUUAACUUGUUUAUAGACUGCCCACUAGUAAUAAAUCAAAUCUUUCUAAAAAUGAAGGCCAGAUUUUCCGCGUGUAAACCAGAUGUUUUUUAAACACUGAGUUGUUUUUGUUGAUAAGACAAAUGAGAAGUUUUAAACAGUGUGGGGUCAGAGGCGUCACAAGUGGGGGAACCUGGGUGCGGACCUUACCGAGUGAAACCCGACCUAGUGACGCCACUGCAAACCAGUGGGCAGUCAGUUGGGUCAACUAUGACGUCUUGAGGUCAACAGCAGAAGACAUUUCUCUGCUGCCACAAAUAUCUGUCUCGAGAAACCACAAGAAGUUAAAAUAGCGACAUUGAAAUCCUAAAGUUGACAGUACAGCACGUCCACAUUUGCUCCGGGGCGUGACCUGCGCGGGCUAUAAAUAGACAAGUGAAACCGAAAUAAAUGUUGGAGGUAUCGGUGUGGACAAAUAGAGUCACGUGGUGUGAUUCCAAAAAGCAAGGCUCGACUUCAUACAACAAGGGUUUGAUCAG